Molecule: long non-coding RNA, 8740 nt
Organism: Gallus gallus (chicken)
Lineage: Eukaryota; Metazoa; Chordata; Aves; Galliformes; Phasianidae
Exons: 3
Source: RefSeq, a predicted model, not a curated record
GGAUCUCUUCUUGGAGAUUGCUCCUUGUGGAGUUUUUGCAAGCCUACAACACCGGGGUUUGGGUCAUGUGUCACCUCUCAGCUGUUGCCCUCCUCCUGACAGAACCGCAGGAGAGAAACUUGGAACUGGGGACCAGAUCUCUGUCAACCAAGACACAUGAACAGCUAUCAGCUCUCUCACAUGCUUCCCAUGCAGGGCCCCACGUGCUAUCUCUGCUCCCACCUGUCCCAUCCUCCUGUCCUCAACCUAAUCUCCUGCCACAUUCAUCCCGUGGUCUCCAUGCUGCCUGCCCAGCCCAGCACUGGCUGCAUGCCCAUGGUUGUAGGGCCAGGAGCUGUCAGCAGCUUCUGCCUGUGGCUGCCUCAUGAGCCCAGCAGCUGUGAGACACACAGGGCCCUCAAGCAGAGGGAGAAGGCUUUCUUCCACAGUUUUGGAGAACCACAGAACAGUUUGAGUUGGAGGGGACCUCAAAGCCCACCCAGCUCCAACCCCUGCUAUGGGCAGGGCUGCCACCCCCCGGUUCAGCUGCCCAGGGCCCAUCCAGCCUGGCCCUGAGCACCUCCAGGGAUGGGGCACCCACAGCUUCUCUUGGCAGUUGCGCCAGCGCCUCAUUGCCCUCUGUGUAAAGAGUUUCUGCCUAACAUCUAACCUAAAUCUCUUUUGUAGUUAGAGAAGCAGGCACACACUCAUUGCCCAAGAGUGCCUCCGAGGAGCCAUGAGUGUUCCCCUCUGUGCAUCACAAGCAUCUCAGGGGACAUUUGUCCAGGUCUUAUUUCUAUUCAGCGAUUUUCAGUGGUGGCUUUGGCUGGUGGAAUAGGAGACACACUCAAAGAGAGAAUGGGGACCUACAGGAAAAGGCUAAUCGUAUGUCAGAACAGAUUGAGAGGAGACACAAACUUCUCUUUAUGUCAUAGGCUACUAAAUGUUGUCUUGGUGCACUGACACGGGAGCUGGGGUGUGCCCCACACUACAGAGAGGUACCAAUGGGACCCAGCUGUCUGCCGAGCAGCUGGAGGAGUUCAGUUUCUUCCUGCCUUUCCCUUUGCCCCUGAGAAACUGCGUGCUGACCUCACUCAUUCCCCAGGCACAUCUGAAGCAGAAGUUACGUUCUCCUUUUUCUGGGUAGAGUGCAAGCUCUGAGGGGACCCCCUGCCCUGCAGGUUUAUUCAUGGUCAGAAGCAGAAACACAGAAGGUAAGGUCAGGGUUGUCCCAGAGCUGGCCAGCUUCUUCUGCUGAGGAUGUGUCAGCCCCCCCGGCAGGAGGAUGGGCUGGAUCAGGAGAUGCCGUGAGUGGAAACCCCAUGGAUUGGGCUGGGAUGAGAAAUCUUGAUGGGGCGGCUUUGGGUGAGCAAUUGCUUAUCAGAAAACCCGAGGCUGGAGGAGGACACGGCGCAGCCAGCCAGUAACUGGGGCUGGACUUGGGCUCCCAGACAGAAAAAACAAACCAGCGCAUUUUCCAUGUUUACAUUAGAUGUUUAUUUUACAGUUCGUUUCACAAUCCGUUUCUCUGUUCGCUUUGCAGCGAAUUGAUUUAUGGUGCUGCAGAUCCUAUCUGGCUGCUCUGCCCAGAGCACGUGCUUGGAAAAAGGACCUGGACAAGGAGCCUCACUGUCGUCGUUGCUGUUUUGUCUACAACUUUCCUUACUCACCCCUUAAGUUAGAGCAGUUUCUUCCAAACCGCGAUAAAUUGGUUUCUUACUCCCUUGUGCUCACAUCAGUAUUUUGAGUGGUUGUGUCCCAAAUCUCGGGAGGAAAACAGAGCAAACAACAGGAUCAGAGGCCGUGGGCACGGGCUGAAGCACAGGAAGCUCUCUCUGAGCACCAGGCAGCACUGCUGUGCUGUGCGGGUGACAGAGUGCUGGCACAGGCUGCCCAGAGGCUGUGAGGUCUCCUCCUCAGAGAUCUUUGAAACCACCUGGAUGUGGGCCUGUGCACCUGCAGUGGGUGUCCCUGCUGGGGCCUGUGCCAACCUCAGCCACCCUGUGAUGAUUCUGUGAUUCCCUCAGGUCUGGUCUCAGUGGAGGCAGUGCGACUUCACCAUUAUGCACAUACACUGCCUUCCCUUCAUCACUGGAGCUAUAAGAGAGAUGUGUCAUGUUUGAUUGGGAAAAUAUCGAUGUCGGUGGGAAAUCCCUGAGCAAAACUUCGUCACACGCUUUAAAGGAGGAGAAAGAUUCACUAUUUCCUCGUACAGGGCAGAGUGCUCCCCGUGAAUAACUGGACCCAACCUAAAAGCAGAAGGAAGUGUCUUUUUAAAGAACAGAGGUGUGGUGAUGACACUGUCGUGCUUCAUAGGCCUUGUGUAACCGGUGACGUGUGCGGCUUCUGAAGAGCCGGUUCCCCAGUCAGGCUGAGGUCACUCCCCAAGAAGAACAAUAAAAGACCAAUAAGUUGGCUGGCUGCAGGGAUCUGCCCCUUUCCCCCAGUAAAAAGAUAUUCGCUGGAUACAAACAUGGGUUUCUGUGGACUGGCAUGACUGCUGUGGUGGUUUGCGUAAAUCCAAGCUGGAAGUUUUGAAAGGGGAGAAUGCCAACCCAACAGACUGAGUCUACGGCCGCUAAGCGCCCUGAAGCCGCAAGGAACAGGCAGUUCCAUGCUGAGGGCACGUGGUUACCUACAGUCGUAUCUAUGUAAAUGUCUCCACACUGACUUGUUCAGCAAUUUACAACUUUCAAAUUACGGUUGUUUAAAGGGUGUGAAAAGGCUUUAUGUCAAGAAAUUGCUUUCAUGUUCAACUGGAUGCAAGCUAGAGUCUACAAUAGGGGAACUGGUUCUCCAGUAAAGGUUGUUCAGCACACUGGCCCAAACCUGGCCUGCUCUUGCACUCAUGGCAGAGCUCUUCAGGGCAAUAUGAAAAUACAUCUUUCCUGCUUUCCUACAAGAAGCGUAUGUACGUUUAUUUAACUGAGGGAUGAUCCUAAUCUGCAGUAAUUCUGCAGGCAUUGGUGAAUGACGUUGGAAAUAGGGAAGUGAAAUGGCCAGGUAAGCAUUAACUGCUCUGCUUUUGUGCACAUGGAGAUUAAAUAUUUAAAGGGAAGAUCUGCGAAGUUUCAGCAUUGCAUGUGUAGGUAAUGCCUCUGAGCAGUACAUUAAAGAAUAGUAAUGCAUAUAUACAUACUCUGAGCAUAAAGAUGGACUCCAGAUUAGCUAAAAUUGUAUCUGAUAAGCCCCAGUAAAACCUUAAUAGUUUCUAUCAAUGCCAUGAAGCUGGGGUUGGGUUUUGGGGUUUCUUUUUCUCUAACAGAAAUUGUGCAUUUUAGGAAAAGCAUCCAGGAUAAUAUGGCUUGAGAGUGGCCUGGAGAGAUUUCUAAAAAUGUCUAAGCAAGUCAAAGGCAGAAAUGGGAAUCUGUGCAGUGGCAGCACUGUGAGGGUGUGGGCUGUUCCUGUGGGAUGAUCAAGAGGUGCAUUUCACAAGAGAGAAACCUUCUCUCUGGAUAAUUUUUCAUAGCUAGCAAGGAUGCCUUGCACAGUUUCUGUCUUGCAACAGAAGCUAUACGCAGAGAUUUCAUCUCCCCGCCUGACCUCUCGGCCUUGCAAUGCGGUGCCACCAAAGCCCAGCCCCUGGGGACUGCUGCAGGAACCUCCCUGCCUGCCCUGCAUCUCCAGCAGCCACUGGGAAGGGCACUGAAUGAUGGGGCUGCUGAGGUGGGAUGAGGACUGGGGUGCUGGAGGAAUGACAGUGGGACUUGCCUGGGCUGGAGGCUCCUGGGUGUGGAUGCCCUCUCUGCAGACAAGCUUCAUUGUCCGUUCCUUGUCACGUCCCUGAUGUGGCCUUGAUAAAGCAACACCUGAACAAACCCCACAAGGGUUGUGAUAAGCAGAACAGAAGCAGAAGAGCCUCCGGUUUCCACCAGUGCCCUGAAAACUGCUUGCAACCUCUCUCACCCAGUGUGAAGUCUGCCUGAGAGGCAUUUGCACAACACAGCCUUCUUCCCCUGAGCAAGCCUGCCUUCAUGUAGAGCAAUGCACAUGCCUGCCCUACCAUCUGCCUAGCUCCUAAACCCAAAAUCCCAAGGGGGAGGAUUUCAUCAGUGUUCUGCAAUACUCUUCAUCCAUUUGUUUUUGCCGACGCUGUUUCUCUGUCCUUUGGCCAUGACCAGGAGCAGCCAGUGAAGGACAGCCUGGUCCCAUUUCUGCUCCUCAGAGGAGCGGGGGCAAAGGAAGAUGCAAACAGUUUUGAAAACACUUGUUUACAUUGUUUUGUAACUUCUUGGGAAUCCUAGAGCAAGUACAGCAACCCGUGAACUCAAAACAACCCCAUGAAAGCCGUUAGUAGAGGGAUUGCCGAUACGUGCAAUGAGGACUGAAAGAUGGCAUGUGUAGCUGUGCUAACAACUGAUGGGGAUGUAUCUGCUGGAGCCAGGGAUCCUUUGUUCAGAAGUCAGAUGGAUGUCCAUCUCCCAGCUCCUCAGCAGUCUGAAUCCCAAAGCUUUCCCUUCUUGCAGCAGGCACCAUGGGAGUGUCUCUCCAGGCUUUUUUUCCUACAGAAGUCCUGCAGCUGCCAAGGAAUGCUUUACCAGUGUUUUAUUCUAUCAUAUCUCCCAACAAUGCAGUAUAGGAUUAAGGCAAAUCUACACCAUCAAUCUACUUCCCAGAGCAGUGUGUAGUUAGCAGCAUAGUGUGUCAUACAUACACGGGUAGAUCUUCCCUUGUGAGCACAGGAGCAAAAGCUGGGUUAAAAGAUGUCGUUAUGUUAAAGGAACCUACUUGAACUCGCUUGCCUUUAGUUUAUAUGAGAAACAUGGGUAAAUUGCUUCUGAUAAAGAACUAAGUGCGUGAAUGAUGUUCACAGGUAGGAAAAGUGCCAUUUUCUAUCUCGGUUCUUGCCAUGCAGCCUUUUGGGCUUCAGGUGUUUUUUUUAUGACCCCCAUAGGAUUGUACUCAAGGCUUCUCCUAAAUAAUAGCAUCAAUUGUAGGAAAGUGCAUGAGGAUUCCACAUUCCUGCCAACCCAGGAACAGGAAUGCCAAGUGUGCUUUCAUUUCAGACGAUUUGAUUAACCUUUUAUUAAGUCUAUGAAAAGCUAUUGAACCAACUCAGACUCCUUGAGUUUCAAAGACCCUAUCUUUUUUUUCUAUGUGCAGGAAGCCUGCAAUUCUGGGCAGCUUCCAAGGCUCACUGCUCUCAUGAACAUCCAGGUCUUGCCGGGGUGCAGAUUGCAGAGCUGAGUUGCCCUUUGACGGGAACAAAAGCCAUUUCAACUGGUGCCACUCAAGCCAGGGGAUAAAGAAACUGAUCCCAAAGCCAAUGUGUGGACAAGCUGGGGCAAGGACCCCGGGUCUGGGUUGUGUGUCCUGGAAGGCCAAGAUCUGGGCCUUUGAGCAGGUGUACUCAUCAUUCAGUCUGCAGCUGCCUGCCCCUCUGCCAUGGGGAACAAUCACCCAGGGAAGCAUGUCCUCUGCUUGUAUCCCUGACCCCUUCUGCUCCAGUGAAGCAUGAAGCUUUUGGGCAGUGCUUGGUGCUGGAGCGUCUGUAAGGCCAUUUUCUGCUCUCAUUCAUUCUCCUGCAGUCUAGUGAAAGAGCACAUAUGAAAGUCCUCUCUUCCCUAUCCAUGCAAGGGUAACAUUUUCAUGAAAACUCACAGGAAUUUGACUAUUGCAGAGAUUCUCAUUUCCUGUCAUGCUUGACUGAAACCAGCCAGCAGUUUCAAGAGCUUCUGUAUGGGCAGUACCUGACCUUGCACAAUUUGCUUCCAUAGAAAACCAAGGUUAAGCAAACCCCGAGUUGUCCUGAGUGCCUUUGCAGAAGAUGACAUUUCUUCACUUGUCCCUUUUUCCUGGAGCUCCUUAGAAGUGGCUGAGCUCUUAUAUAGCCUUUUCUUUCUGGUCUUCCCAAAAGUACUUAUCUGAAGUAUCUGAAUAUGCUUGCAAGCUGCUGUUUUUCUUCAGAAGGCUGUGGUAGCAUCAGUGCCUGGCAACACAGGGACCAUUUCCUCCAAAGAAAAAGCAAAAAGUUCUUCCAAGAAGGCCUGAAAUAUGUACAGCUUGAAAUCUCCUUCAGGAAUGUAAUUUAUGGUGCUUGUUUGGACAGGAGGGGAAUAUCAGAUAUGCAUUUUUAUCUACUCAACCUGCACAUCUCUUUCUACAAUCCUUCACCUAGAAUUAUAUUUUAGUAUCACAACUGAAAAUGUGCAUUUAAUCUCUGUGGUGUCUAUAAGACUCUUCAGGCUCCUCUGAGGUCCUCUGAAGCUGUGAAGUGUUUCACAAUAUAUCAAGAGGUAAUUUGCAUUGACAAUCAAUAUGCUAAUUGUUGUGUCAACACUGUUUUGCUGUGUUUCUUGGCUCCUUGUCCUGAGGCACACAGCUAUGAGUAGCCUCGGCUCGUCUGUGAUGUGCAAGAUGUGCCGUGGCCAUGCGAUACUCACAGAGCUUGUUGGAAGAGGUGCAACCUGAAGAUGAGGGAGGCCUGUCCAGUUUGUGCUGUCUUAUUCAGUCCAGCUUCAUUUGGUCUGGAAACGUCUAUUUAAUCAGAUGAAGAAAUUAGAGAGCUUUUGUCUCGGUUGUAAAUAAAAUAAAUAUUGAUUAAAAUGAAACAAUUGUCAAACAGACGAGUCAAAAUAACAGCCAUACCAAUGCUUAUGGUUUAUGUAAUGUUAAAUGUUGUUGGAAUACAAGUGUCAAAUAUGAGCCCAAAGAUGUUCUAACUCCUUCAUUUUAUUUAUCUCUAACACGGUUGUGCCCUGAGUCAUGGACCAAAAAUAGCUGUGCCAGGCACUGUGCUACCUCAGAACAAAAAGAUGGAUUUUUUUGGCUUCAUCUGCAGGCUCACAGCUCUUUAGGACACUAAAGAUAUGCUUGGGAGGGGCAUGAGUAAUGGGCAGUGGCAUGGCUUAGAACAUCAUGGCUCCCAGCUUUAAGAAACACAAACACAGGAAACACUCAACAUGGAACUGCAGAGCAGUUGUCCACAGAGUUCCCACCAUAGAAUACUCUGUGACAGGGAGAGGCUAAAAGCCAUCCAGGAUUUCAGCCAAAAUGGCCCUGGGAGCCUGGAGAAAGUAACCAGAUGACGCUAGUUGUCUCUGAUAGACUUGUUAGCUCUUAAUUCCUCUGUGGUAGCUAAUAACUAAGCUGCAUAGGAAGGGAUAUAAUGCUAACUUGGAUUAUGCUUCCAGACUUGCUUCAGGGGCUAUGGAUACGUGCGAGGCAUGGGGAGGAAGUCUCAAGUGGAAGAGUGCUAUGGAUUGGGAUAAGUAGUUGUAUGGGAUGAAUGUGCCUCUUUACUUACCCUUGGUGUCACUUUCCAGGGAUUUCCAAGACAAAGAAGAAUGAGUUACAGAUAAAGUUGCAUCCUAUUGAUACACUCAUCAUCUGGGAAGAAGCCUGCUGGAUCACUGCUUCCCCAUCUCUCUGUAGCCUGCUGUCAACCCAGUAGUACACAACCCUACUGAACUCAAAGCUGCAAGAUUCUCAGCCAAGGAAGAGUGCUUCACCGUGCUGUGGGUGUGCUUGACAAGUUCCACUAACAAUGGGAUGCUUUCACUCAUUUACCUGCAGUGACUGACCUUGGCAUGUGAGCAGCACUGGCAGCAGGACCCCUCCAGAGGCUGCUCUCCCAGGUGAGCACGGAGGAUCACAAAGCAGAAACUCCUUCAGGCCCCAUAGAUAUCAACGGGUCUGCUCGGCUCUGCCAGGUGUAGUCGUGCAUUUCAAGUUUCUUCCUGACUCUGGGUUUUAAUUCUUGUGAGUUUCACUGGAACAAAGAUAUCAGGCUAUUUAUGCACUGGCCUUCUUUGUGUGUAUGCAGCUACCAAUGUCUUUGAUGCUCCAUUUCCCAGUAGCUUUUUUCCCUCUGGGUCUCAGGUCCCAGCUAGUGUCCCCUAUUGUAAUCUUUGGCAUUGCCCUACCACUGCUCCAGCAACCUCCAUUAGUGCCUCCCUGACCUAGCGUACAGCUCAGGUUGGCUGCCUGGGAAGGCCAUGCAACUUAAUUUAGAGCUCAUCAGAAGAGUCGAUGAGCCAUGGCCUUCCUAUUUUGCAAAGAGACAUACCUAUGGCCCAGACGCUGCUGCAAUGGGCACACUGGAAACACAGGAAGAUAAAGUAGUUGGCAGACAAGCCCUGGUCCCGUCUGUUUGUUUUUGUCUUUCAUCCAGACAUGCAGUCAAGCAAAAUCAGCAUGACUUGAUCCGACCAGAAGGCAACACCGACACUUGGUAGACCCACAGUAUUUCACAAUGUUGUUGUUUUACUCCAGCCGCCAAAUGUAAAACAAGACACAAGCACCUGGGUCUGCUAAAGCUCAUCUGCUGAGGCCUGGGUUUGGCACUACAAGCUCUCACACUUUUUUUUGCUGCCAUCCUAUAGCAUCCCAUAGGCCACACGGUAUCGUGCACAGGCUGACUCCACAGCUCCUUCAGGUCUCAGGUGUUUUCAAGGUGCAUCUGCAGCUCUUUUGGGCUGAAACUACUACAUGGUCCUCUGACACAUGGUUUGAUAUCAAAAUUGCAGAACAGGGAUUGAUUCAGGAGAAGAAAAGCCAGCAGCCCUAAAUGACAGGAAGCCAGGAUGCUGGAACCUGCUUGGAAGGGACGGGGAUGUUUGUCUCCAGCCCAUUCUCCUGACACCCAGUCCUUGUGCACAACCACAGCAGCCAUGGGCUGCCCAGCCUAAAAGCUUCUGGCACUAUUUCAUUGAGAAGCUUUUGCACUUCUUAAAUUCAGCAGGAACAAAGCCGGGGAGUCAGAAGUGCGCUUUGAUUCUGCUCCUUUCAAUGGUCUUGGCUGAAAUAAAAACCCUUUUGG